This is a long non-coding RNA of Sinocyclocheilus anshuiensis, 157 nucleotides long. RefSeq lists it as uncharacterized. The transcript is spliced from 3 exons. The record is from RefSeq and is a predicted model, not a curated record. Lineage: Eukaryota; Metazoa; Chordata; Actinopteri; Cypriniformes; Cyprinidae.
CAGGGUAUAAAUGGUGAAGUAGGUCCUCAGGGAACACUUGGAAAAGAGGGUCAAAAGGGCAGCAGGGGUGAACCUGGUGAUAAUGGAAGAACAGGACUCAGAGGAUCCAGAGGUCGAGCAGGCCAACAUGGUCCCCCUGGUGUACCUGGAAUAGUGG